GAUGAACGCUGGCGGCGUGCCUAAUACAUGCAAGUCGAGUGAACAGAUGAGAAGCUUGCUUCUCUGAUGUUAGCGGCAGACGGGUGAGUAGCACGUGGGUAACCUACCUAUAAGACUGGGAUAACUCCGGGAAACCGGGGCUAAUACCGGAUAAUAUUUUGAACCGCAUGGUUCGAUAGUGAAAGACGGUUUCGGCUGUCACUUAUAGAUGGACCCGCGCCGUAUUAGCUAGUUGGUAAGGUAACGGCUUACCAAGGCGACGAUACGUAGCCGACCUGAGAGGGUGAUCGGCCACACUGGAACUGAGACACGGUCCAGACUCCUACAGGAGGCAGCAGUAGGGAAUCUGCCGCAAUGGGCGAAAGCCUGACGGAGCAACGCCGCGUGAGUGAUGAAGGUCUACGGAUCGUAAAACUCUGUUGUUAGGGAAGAACAAAUUUGUUAGUAACUGAACAAGUCUUGACGGUACCUAACCAGAAAGCCACGGCUAACUACGUGCCAGCAGCCGCGGUAA
RNAcentral lists this ribosomal RNA (514 nucleotides) under uncultured bacterium. RNAcentral's name for it is "partial 16S ribosomal RNA". It matches the Rfam family "Bacterial small subunit ribosomal RNA", at positions 28 to 523 of the family's 1533-position model. The record is from RNAcentral.